RNAcentral lists this ribosomal RNA (1292 nucleotides) under Parevania sp. ZJUH_2016024. Its description in RNAcentral is "16S ribosomal RNA". The record is from RNAcentral. Lineage: Eukaryota; Metazoa; Arthropoda; Insecta; Hymenoptera; Evaniidae.
UUUUAAUAUAAAAAUAAAAAUUUAAUUAAUUUUUUUUAUUUAAAGUAUUAAUUUUGAUAACUUGUUUUUGUAAAUAAAAAAUUAUAUUAAUGGUAAUGAAAAUGAGAAUAAAAAUAAAAAUUUUGAAGUAGAGAUAAAUCUUAUACCUUUUGUAUCAGGGUUAAUUAAAAUUAAAAAAUUUAUGAAUUUUAAUCUCGAAAAUUAAGAAUUUAAUUUCAUAUAUUAGUUAAUGUAGUAAUAUUAUUAAAAAUAUGUAGUUAUUGGUGAAAUGCCUUAGAAUUAAUUGAUAUCUAGUUUUUUUUGAAUUAAAUUUAAUUUAGGUGAUUUAGGUAAUAAUAAUAAAUAAUUUUUAUUUAUGGGUUUAAUUGCAAAAAUAUUGGGGGAUAAACUCUAAUAUUUAUUAAAAAAAAAUUAAAUAAGGGUAUUAAUACUAAAAAUAAAAUUUUUUAUGUAUUUUAAGUUUUUUGUAAAUUAUUGAAUAAUGAAUAAUAAUUUAAUUAGUUUUAAUUGAAGUAAAGAAAUAUUUAGUUUAAUAGAGUAAUUAAAAUAAUAAUGAUUAAAUUAGUAAAAUAAAAUAUUUUAAAAAAUUAUUAAUUUUAAAGAAUUUUUUAAAAUAAUUCGGCAUAUUUUAGGUUUACCUGUUUAAUAAAAACAUGUCUUUAAGAUAAAAAUUUAAAGUCUGAUCUGCUCAAUGAUAAAAUUAAAUAGCUGCAGAAUUUUGACUGUACUAAGGUAGCAUAAUAAAUUGUUUAUUAAUUGUGAACUUGAAUGAAUGAUUAAAUAAAAUCUAAACUGUUUCUAAAAAAAAUAAUUAAAUUUAAUUUUUAAGUUAAAAAGCUUAAAUAGAUGUGUGGGACGAGAAGACCCUAUAGAUUUUUAUAUUAAUAUAAUUAGAGUAUUGCUAAUUGAAAGGUUGAAUUAUAUUAAUAUUUUGAUGGGGCCUCAAAGAAAUAAAAUAAUUUUUUUAAAUUUUAAUAACUAAAAUGAUUGAGUAAGUGAAUAAAUAUAAAUAUUAAAAAUAAAAAUACCUUAGGGAUAACAGCAUAAUAAUUUUUUUAAGUUCAUAUUUUAAAAAUUGAUUGUGACCUCGAUGUUGAAUUAUGAUUUAAUUUAAUAGAAGAAUAUUAAAAUUUUAGUCUGUUCGACUAUUAAAAUCAUACAUGAUUUGAGUUGAAAUCGGUGUAAACUAGAUUGGAUUCUAUCUACAAAAUUUAAAUAAAGUCUUUUGUACGAAAGGACUAAGAUUUUUAAAUAGUUUAAAAGAUUUGAUUAAUUUAAUUGAAUAAUAGAAA